AUUCAGCUGACGAGUCCCAAAUCGAGACGAAAUGUGCAUCCUGGAU
Molecule: non-coding RNA, 46 nt
Filed under: Trichobilharzia regenti
Lineage: Eukaryota; Metazoa; Platyhelminthes; Trematoda; Strigeidida; Schistosomatidae
Source: RNAcentral